Long non-coding RNA from Oncorhynchus keta (chum salmon), 441 nucleotides. RefSeq lists it as uncharacterized. The record is from RefSeq and is a predicted model, not a curated record. NCBI's taxonomy places the organism in Eukaryota, Metazoa, Chordata, Actinopteri, Salmoniformes, Salmonidae. The transcript has 3 exons.
CAGGUUGACUAAAGCCGUAGAGUUCAGGUUGACUAAAACCGUAGAGUUCAGGUUGACUAAAGCCGUAGAGUACAGGUUGACUAAAACCGUAGAGUACAGGUUGACUAAAGCCGUAGAGUACAGGUUGACUAAAGCCGUAGAGUACAGGUUGACUAAAACCGUAGAGUACAGGUUGACUAAAGCCGUAGAGUACAGGUUGACUAAAGCCGUAGAGUACAGGUUGACUAAAGCCGUAGAGUACAGGUUGACUAAAGCCGUAGAGUACAGGUUGACUAAAACCGUAGAGUACAGGUUGACUAAAGCCGUAGAGUACAGGUUGACUAAAACCGUAGAGUACAGGAUGACUAAAGCUGUAAAGUACAGGUUGACUAAAGCCGUAGAGUACAGGUUGACUAAAACCGUAGAGUACAGGUUGACUAAAACCGUAGAGUACAGGAUGAC